UACGUAGGGUGCGAGCGUUAAUCGGAAUUACUGGGCGUAAAGCGUGCGCAGGCGGCGCGUUAAGACAGGUGUGAAAGCCCCCGAGCUUAACUUGGGAAUUGCGCUUGUGACUGGCGAGCUGGAGUGUGGCAGAGGGAGGUGGAAUUCCACGUGUAGCAGUGAAAUGCGUAGAGAUGUGGAGGAACACCGAUGGCGAAGGCAGCCUCCUGGGCCAGCACUGACGCUCAUGCACGAAAGCGUGGGGAGCAAACAGG
RNAcentral lists this ribosomal RNA (254 nucleotides) under uncultured bacterium. RNAcentral describes it as "partial 16S ribosomal RNA". It matches the Rfam family "Bacterial small subunit ribosomal RNA", at positions 524 to 776 of the family's 1533-position model. The record is from RNAcentral.